This is a long non-coding RNA of Drosophila mojavensis, 8237 nucleotides long. RefSeq lists it as uncharacterized. The transcript has 4 exons. NCBI's taxonomy places the organism in Eukaryota, Metazoa, Arthropoda, Insecta, Diptera, Drosophilidae. The record is from RefSeq and is a predicted model, not a curated record.
UUCUUACUUGUCAGCGUUGCCCACUCGCCCGCCACCCAGAGUUGCAUUCGCAUUAUCUCUUCACUCUUUAUGAGCACUUCCUUAAAUUAAAAAAAGAAAAUAAUCCAAUAGGGCAAUUUUACUUCCGAUUUGUCGUUUCUACGUAUUAAAUUGUUAACUGUUGACAAUGGGACAAUGGAACACCCAAAUGCAUUGUGAAACUGUGAUAAAUCUGGUUUGGCUAAAAACACACAACACAACAGAGAGAUCAAACGAGAUGAGGCGGCAACUAGAAAUAAGGCCUAUUUCCAAAGCCGUAACAAUUUCCAACAAAUAAAAUGUUUAUCAUUUGUUUUGUGACAUGCACAACGGGGUGUGCGAAUUACAGUCGAGCCCUGGACACAGCCCUGACUGCCCUCGUCCUGUCGUCCCUUUGCGGCUGAGCCUGAUAAUGACAUUACCCAGCGGCCAAGCACUGCAUGACGUCACAGCGCUGCCACACCAGGUCACAAACAUAAAGCGACAAAUUGACGCAAACAUUUAACACACACAUUGCCCCGCCCCUCCCCAACAAGGAUCGCAGAACGCAAUGCUCAGGACAUGGUCAACAGGGCUAUAGAAGGGCCUGCAGCAGGGCGUUGGCGGCUUCUCUUGAUGGUGGAACACCUACGAAAAAAUUCCUUUGAAUUACGUUGUUGCAGCGCCUGCCAGCCUGCCUGCUUGCAUGUAUGUGUGUCGGUUUUUUUUUUUUUUUUUUUUUGUUAAGCCCUGAGCUAUGCGCAAAAAAGGACAUCUUCGCUGGCUGUGCACUCCAUUAUGCAUUUUAUGUGCGCCCUCAUUCAGUGUCUGUUGACAUUUUUAUUCCAAGCAGUUAAGCAAUAUUUCCAUUAACGUGUGGUCGGAUCGGAGUCCAACAAUCUAUAAAUGUAUGUAUAUAAAGAGGAGGAAGAAGAGCUCCACUAAUCAUCCCAUCUUAAAUCCUUAUAAUCUGCCUUUUAAUAGGAGACCUCAAGCUUUAACUCUAUCCUGUUUUCUAUGCUAAUUCGCUGUUAAUUGAUGCACAAACAUUUCGGUAUUUAUUGUUGUUGGCUAGUCGCAGUGGGCAGGACUUGAAGGCACCUUGAAUGGAGGGCUCAUUUAAUUGAAUCAAAAUAUUUUUGCACGCACCAAUUCAAUUUACAUUGUUUAUAUGGAGCAGGAGCCAGAGUGAUUGCCGCAGGUGAAAAUGCCAGCAGUUGUAUCAUUUAUAUUAUUGUAAAAUCUUCUUUAGCUAACUUGAGAUGUUGCUGUUGUUGUUGUUAGAGGAUCGCCCGCCCAGUGAGCAAUUUGCCGGAUAAAUGGUUUUUGCUGUAAUUACGAACAUUUCUCUCUUUCUUUUUGUGCUCUUUGUAUUUGUCGGCCUCUUGGCGUCUACUAAUUAUCACAUUUUUACUCAUUAAAGUCACAUUUGCCUUACAGGACCUGUCGCUGUGAGUCCUGGCUGCUGCUGCUGCUACUGCUGCUACUACGGUUUGCUUAAUUAUAGGGCCAAAAGGCAAAGCGACGUCUGCUACUUGCUAGGUAAUCAGCCUUUCAGUCGUUUUGGCUACCGUAUUAAAAGGACGAACGCUUGAUGAUGAUUGAUUAGGCGCUGGGUAAGACAAGCCAACCAAGCCAAGCCUAGCCGAGUCAAUCACCGAUGAGCUUCUUAUGUAGGCCAAGCAUCUUUUGCAUCUGCUCAGCUGCGACAACUGUGCAAAUGCAGCGCGUGGCUAAGAGACCCACAGAGCGGGGCAGCUGUAGCUCUAGCUGUAGCUGAAGCUAAACAACAAAUCGAAAACUGAUUUGGAGCGGAAGUUCGUUUGCACCUUUCAGCAGUUUCCUGUGUGUGCAAAGCAACAACAGCGACAACCACAACAACAACAGCAACAACUAUACAAACGCUCACAUCUGUACAUAUGUACAUAGUAGUAUGUUUGUAUAUAGCACACGCAUGUCAAGACUUCAUUUGUAAUUUGCGCUACUUCGACGUUUGGCCUUUGACGCCGCAUUCCUUUGUCUUGGAACUGAACGCAACGGAACGGGGCGGGGCGAGCGCGCGAUAUAUUCGCAAAUCAAAAGCUAUAUAGAUUAAGAUUGCCCUCCUGUGUAUAUAUAGGGAAACGCAAAGGAUCUGGGCAUAUAUAUGCAAAGCGCUGCCAAGGAGCAGCUGUCGCCGUUGUUUGAUUUGCGAUUGCGACGCUGGCGGAAAUGGAAUGACACGCAAGGCACAAAGGCAGCCCGACAGCCCAGCCCUAGCCAGCCAGUCAGUCAGCCACUCCACGUCUUUGUUUGGCAGCUCGUCGCAAAAAGAUUGGCAAAAUGGAAAUCGAAAUUUACAAGAAAAAAAACUGAUAUCUUUGAAAUUGAACUAGAAAUACUCUUGCUAAGAUAAGAGUCAAGAUGAAAGGAGAAACUAAAAAUAAUUUUGUUAGCAUGUAGAAAGUGUUUUUUACUGAUUGAUUAUAGUCAGAUUAUAUUUGUAGUUCAAUGUACUAACAUUAGAGCAGACACAUUUAUAUUUUCAUUUUAUGAUCGACUGUUACAUCUGAUAGCUAUGGCUAAGAAGGAUCGAAUCAGCUUGAAUCCGUAAGAUGAGAACUUGUUCCUUUGCAGAAAUAGUUGGCUCUACGGACUUAAAAACGCUUCCUUCACCGUGCUACAAAUCUCAUUGGAAAUGGAGAGGACCCUCUGUCAGUGUGCGGCAAAAUCUAUUUCACCAAACACACGCACUGCGGCAGCAGGAGAAUAGCGAGGGCCAGCUAAGCGGACUGCCUGGCAUGCUUAUAGUAAAUACUAUAUGUGCAUUUAUGCUGUAGUUUUCCGAGCGACUGCACAUGGCAAUGCAGCCCAUGCUAAUGCUAAUGCCUCUGCCCCUGUCCCUGCCUCAUGUUUUGUGUGCACAAUCAGCGCGCGCUGGCAGCAGCUGCUGCUGUUGCUGCUAUUACUGUUGUUGCAACAAGGUGUAAACAUGACCAGCGCGUGUCCUAAGGAAGUGGCGCGCACUUGAUGUCUCAUUAUUACAAUGCUUCACACAGGUUAAUGAUGCGCGCUCUGUGCUUGCUUCCGUGUGUCACAAUUAUGCGAGGCAGCUGAGCUUGAAGCGCGGGUCGGCGUCGCGGGGUCGAUUCGUUGACCUCUGCAGCCACUGCCAAAAAGCAACUAUAAAUGCCGGAUUGGGGUGAAGGCAAACAAUUCCAGCUUGGUUUUAUGUGCCAUCAUAAAUGUCAGGUGCGUAGGUCAUUCCACCAAAAAUUUAUUCAACAUAAUUAGUUGUGGCAAUUACAGCAGACGUUGGGCACAAUGUGCGGCAACUAAUUUGAUUUUGAAACUCGGACCAAUUGUGACUAAUGAGUGGCGCACACGUUGCUAAAGCAAACACGGACCAUACAAAUACUACAAAACCCAUCCCAAGUGGAAGAAUGAAAGCCUGCCCCAAAGCCCACAUACCCCACUUUGCCACCUCCCGAGCAGAGCAUUUAAAUUGGUUUUGCUUCUGGCCUUGUGGCCAGCAACAUGAUUUAAGAUAGACACUAAAGCAUUUACACCUGCAGCUGCCACGCCCCUGCGUUCACGUGCUCGACAUAAAGGAAGCACACAGAAGAAAACAAAAAUGCAUAAGCGAUUAUUUGUAGAGUGCGCGUGCUUGGCCGCAGGACAUCAGUGAGCCACAAAACCAGGCCAAAAAAUGGAUUUUAGGAAUCGUUAUCAGCACAUUUCGUGACUAUGGCUAAAAAUAUUGAAGCAGCACAACCAAUACUCUGUUCGUGUGUGGGUGUGCUGGUGUGUGUUUGGGGACAGUUGCAGUUGGGGCUGUGCCAAUUCGUGUUCACGUCGUUAUCCUUGCCCCGGAUGCACAACAAUCAAAAUAAACUGCUGCCAAAUUGACCAUUGACCAAACAUCGUCAACAGCAACAGUAGCCAUCCUAGGCAGCCCCCACGCCGCCUCCUUGGCAUUGUCACGUCCUUGGCAUGGGCCACAAGUCAAAACGAGCAGCAACAACAGCAAAUGGAGAAAAAGACCAAACAUGCAGUUUGGGCAACUUGGCAAUUUUUGUGUAUGCUGCAAUGAUUGGAUAUAGAUAGUUGGACAGCUAGAUAGCUGCUAUAUAAUCGAACAUCGGGUCUUUAGCCAUGGAUAACGCAAAUCGAUUGGCUUUAAGCCAACUCAAAGUUGGGUCAGUUAAACAAACAACAAUUAUGGCCAGGAUGAUAUAUCAUAAUACUUAUGAUGGAAGCAGGAACUCUGGCUAACUUCUGAAUUAUGAUUGAACUCGCAAGAAGCUAGCUUGAGGCACAUUCUCACCUUCAUGCUGCAGUUCCACCUUUUUUACCUGGAAAAGUGGACAAAGGCAGCCGUUUGAGCGUUCUAGAGUGUCCGUUGUUUUUGUUCAUGCGAUUUGCGAUGUAAUUGUGGAAUAAUGAAAUCGCUAAAGAGAUUCCAACUGCAACAUCAAGCAUCACCGGGACGCGUCGUCUGGUCCAUUUAUGGAUUGGCAUUGAUUUAAUACCGCAUCCAUGAGACGAUCUAUGCGCUGGAUGACUCGCAUCCCCAGAGUCCAAGGCGCAAGGCAUUUUGCACCUACCUACAUACAUAUAUCUAGAAAUAUAUCUAUAUGUAUAUACACAUAUGAACAAACGAAGGAACGCACGCAGCUGAUCUGAUUCCUUCGCUGUUUUUUUUUUCUUUAUCAACGCUGCCAGAUCUGCAGAGCAGACGCCACCGAAGUGGGUAUUGGGGAUUGGGGCAACUUGGGGACUGGUCAUUGGAGCGCCUGCAAAAAUGUUUAUUCAAUAAACCCGAUCCGCCAGCUGGCCGUGGCCGUCCAGUGCCUCCGUCUCCACCUCCGCCGUUUGCAGACAUUCCCCAUUCAAGACAAGCCGCUGGAAUUUCUUGGUGCGUGCUUGGCACAGGUUCGGGCUGUGGCCAGGCUCCAGCUUGCAGCAUUUGGCGUCUGCCAGCUGCGCCGUCGCACUGCGUCCGCUGAUUAUGAUAAUGGAGGCGACUCUCGACCACGACUCGCCACUCGCCACUCGCCACUCUCGGCUCACAGCUCACAGCUCGCAGCUCGUCGCCAAUUGCUUUCGUUUAUGAUCGAAUGCUUGGCAGCUCCGUUGACUUUCUGAUUAAUGCAAGAAUUCUACGCAGCGUUCCUUCAGCUACAGCUUCUGUUCAGUGUUUUUUGUUGUUUUUCAGUUGCUGUCCGAUCAGCCUGCAAUUAAAAGCCAUGUACCUUUCGAUAGCCAGCUAAAUGGCAAGUGUGCAAAUCAUUAUAUACACACGAUCAUGCCGCAAAUGCCUGAUGAGCUGUACGAGAGCAGUUCAAGGAGUCCCACUGCAGUUGCUCGGCUGACUUUAAUAUAAUAUAUCGACUGUAUCACUCAAAGUCCGCAACAGGGUAUUACUCCCACAUAUUCAAGGUUUAAUAUCCGGUCAAAGGCGUGAACUAUGUUUCCAAGCGUUUUUUGAUUGAAUCACGAGCCGAACCACCAGGAAAACAUUCGUGUUUACAAGUCCACUCUCGAGGAUAGAGAAACCCACACUAUAGAUCAAAACAUAUGUGGAACCAUAAAGUCAGAAGCGUUACCAUAAUCAGCAUGAUUCAGUCGGAGAUUUAGUUCAAACAGAGAGAGAAAGGUAGGGAGAGAGUAAAAUGCAUAGUGAUAGGUAGAGAAAUAUAGAGCCAGAUAGGUCAAAAGGGAGAGCGAUAGGUAUAGAGAGAGAAAUAUAGAUAUAAAGAGAGAGGGAGAAGCAUGGAGGGUUAGAGCAUCGCUGCUUCGAUAUGGAUCAACAGCUUUGCACGGUUAAAUUCCUGGACUCAGCUGCAGCUCUUACUGGUUCUGGCGUCGCCCGCUGGGUGUGCGAGUGUGUGAGUGAGAGACCAGAUGCACAACUGUCGAUCGACAGCCGAGAGCUGAGAGCUUCGAGCUGCAAGCCGAGAACCGGCAGUCAACAGUCGACAGUCGACAGCCUCGUGCCUGCAGUUGUCAUAACGUUCAACACGUUUGCCGCCCCUCGUCUUGGCUGAGAAUGGCUGCACCCGGCGCCGUCUCCAUGCCCGGCUGUUGCUUCUGCGCUUCCAUAAAAGGAUUUGUCACGUGCGAGCUUUUGUUAAAAAUUCAGCAAUCAUCAAGCAAUCGCAAUCUCUCCAUUGUAUCGAUGUCGGCAUCAGCCAUCGGCCAUCGCCCAUCGGCUUCGCUUGCAUUAUGCAUGGCACAUGGCACAGCUCCUGCCUGGUCGGUAGCGGCAUUCCUGCUUUAAUUCAAGCAGCGUCCCAAACAAGGACUUGCUCCUAGCGUCCAUAUGGUCGAACGCAUCAUGCUCGACGCCUCGCGUCCAACACCCCUCGACGAGCCCGCCCUCCUGGCCAAUCAUUGAAAUUUAUAAUUAAGUACAAAAAUGUUGUAAGGACGCCGACGACAGGAUCUGAGAGAUGCCAAAGAUAGAACAGAGCCCUAGAAGCCUACCUCCAGCUGAAUCGCACCCCAUAAUGGUGGCCAGCUAUUAAUAGAGUUAUUUGGGAGGUGUUUGGGUAAGUUUACCUAAAGAUGCUUGAAGUUUCUUGAAUAAAUAACAAUGAUCCAGUUUACAGGCCACUGAUGAUAGGAGCCAAACACAAAUGCCCCUUAGCCACUUUAAAAGGGUAUACAAAUAGUCGUAGGUCUACUGCGGUCUAUUAACAGGAGCUAAUUCCCGAUUCGGAUGCCAGCAAUGGCUUGUUGUGUGGUUCUGAUGUUGGGUUUUGGCCAAGCGGCAGAUGAAUGAGCUAUGCCAUUGACAAUUACCGUUACGCAUACACACACAUGCACACACUCACAAGCACGCACACAAGGGUAAAUAGAGGCUUUGUGAUGGGCCUGGCUAAUUCAUGACUUUGAGGACUCUUUGGGCAAACAAUUGAAAAGCAAGACGAAGACCAAAAUACACUUGACAUUCAUUAUGCAUGUGUGUGUGAGUGUAAGUGUGAGUGUGUGGUUGUGUGUGCCAAUCAAGCGUAGAAUCAAUCAAAUUGCAAUAGAAUUGUCAAUGGCCACAGCAAACAGUAAAAAGAAAUAUUGUAAACUACUCAGACUGCAAGCCUUUGCAGGAUCCAUUUGAAAAAGGAAGGAACAAAUUCGUUUUAGGGCCGGGGCAUGGGCUUUGGCUUCGGCAUGCUCGUAAUCCCAGUGCUAGAGCCAACGACUGCCAGUUGGCGACGGGUGAGGGACAACGAGCAACUGGACUGUGCUGUUGUCCACAGGUAAACACAAAUCCUAACAACGUGUCCUGGUCAGGGGACGACGCCGCAUUUAUUUGGCGAGUGCGAAUGGACUUUUUGCAUGUGCCACAGUGCAAACAAAAGAAAAAGGAGAGAAGUGGCGGCAGAGCAACGACUGCAUAAUUCUCUGGCUAAAGGCACACAGGGUGUUGGCAGAUUCUCGAAUAUCGAAUUUGAGACGAAUGACUGUUGGAAUGUUACUUGGAAUAUGGCGGUAUAUUAACGGGCGUGGCAAUAAGAUUACACAUCUUUAUCUUGAGGGGAGGCAAAAAGACUCUUUCCUGCAGCUCGAGAAAUAAAUGUGAGAGAUAAUAUAAAUAUUUCAUAUCGUAAAGCAGCAAAAGUUGGAAACUUCAUUAGCUAACUUAAGGACUGUAUUGACCCUCUGAGGGAUUAUUUAACUCCUAAUUAGAAGAGAAAAAAAAAUGGAUAGAGUGCAUUGGUAUAAGUAGUAAUCACUAUAACUAUCCAGAUGAAAUAUAUUAUAUGAAACAAAUUAAAUUAUCUUGAGCAACAAUUACAAUCGACAUUUGAAAUGCCUUCCCCAGCCAAUAUACCCCUCAGCAAUUCCGAGACUUCCGAGAGUGUAACAAAAAUGCUAGCUAUAGCUACAACUGCUGUUUGGACACGAGCCUACACUUCGGAACAAGCAGAAAAUGGGACAUGCACCUGUGUUUGCACUCAAAUCCCGUUGUUUGUUUCGUGCGGCACGAGAGACAGAGAGAUGCGUGCAGCAGUAACAGCAACAGGAACAGCAAUGACAACAGCAAGGGGCACUUGGUUAUUCGAUUUGGAUGCACUUACCACGUUGACAAAGUCCUGGAACGUCACAUAGCCUGGCCCGACGGGUAGUUGGGCCUUCUUCGCACGCUCCAGCAACAGUUCACGCUUGUUCAUAGGCACUUGGGAAACAAACUCCGGCGAUCUCAGGGCGACCAAAAACUCGCUAACAGAUAUUUCACCAAAGCCUUCCGGAUCGAA